GGCUUCGUGGUCGUGCGGUAAGAAUACUUGCCUCUCACCCUGGAGUUCCGGGUUCGAUUCCCGGUCGAGGAACUA
Molecule: transfer RNA, 75 nt
Filed under: Rhamnusium bicolor
Lineage: Eukaryota; Metazoa; Arthropoda; Insecta; Coleoptera; Cerambycidae
Description: tRNA-OTHER
Source: RNAcentral